RNAcentral lists this small RNA (2124 nucleotides) under Histoplasma capsulatum var. duboisii H88. Its description in RNAcentral is "Histoplasma capsulatum H88 hypothetical RNA". Lineage: Eukaryota; Fungi; Ascomycota; Eurotiomycetes; Onygenales; Ajellomycetaceae. The record is from RNAcentral.
UGCCCUCCAACAGGUUAAGUUGCCCUCCAACAUAGACAACAUAUAUAUAUACUAGGGAAAUAAACGUUCAAUUUUAUUUUGUCUAUUGUUCCAGUUUAUAUGUAUCGAUAAGGAAUCAAAUGUGUAUAGCUUUAUAUAAAAUCGUAACUCUCCCCCUUUUCCCACAAAUGGGACGGAUGAGGCCUGUUCCUUCGGUGGUUCAAACGGCUAUUUCCAAUUCCAAUCCCAGUCUCAACCAUCAUCACCAUUAUCAUUACCACUCUCAGAAUCACAAUCGUAACCAUAAUAAUCAUAAUCAUCAUCGUCAUCAUCAUCAUCAUCAACAUAACCUGCCAAAAGCCCCGUCCCCUCCCCCGCCUCCGCCAACCUCGCAUCCUCGAUAUUCCAAGAUUGCGCAUGUCUGGACUGUUGUCCUCGUGAAACCCAACUGCCUUCCCCAUCCCCAUCCCCAUCCCCAUUUUCUCCCCCCACCCGCUGACCCUCAACAACAGCGUACUCAUCCGCACCAGCGCCAGAACCAACGUCUUUUCUCCGCUCCUUCACCAAAGCAAUGUACAUCGCACUCGCCAAAAUGAUCAUCGACCCAGCCAAGCUAACCGGCGACAGCGUCGCAUUGAACACCACCUUAUCAUACAACACCGCAAAAAGCAUCUGCGUAUACACCAUGGUUGUCGCCUUGGAGCCGUGCGUGGACGGCUUCGCAAUAUCUUCUUUCUUCACUUCUUCAUCCCGCCGCCGCCCUCCACCCCCCCGCACCCUUUCAUCACUCACUACCUCGCCGACCUGGCCCCCCACCGUCCCCUCCUGCUCUACGUCCGCAGCUAUAUCCACACCCACAUCCACACCCACGCCCAAAAAGCCUCCAACCUCCUUCUCCCCGUCUCCCGUAGCCGACGCGGGAGGCACGUACGACAACCCCGCCGUUAGCAAAAAUUGCAACAGAAACCCGCACGCCCCAAGCCCCAGCAGGAGCAGAAGCUCCGCCAUGUUGCCGGGAAGGCGGAAGCUGAUGCUGGGUAUCAGCGCGACGGCCAGCAGCGAGAUGAUCGUGGUUAGGCCGCUGAAAUACGUGACGCUGACGAGCGGGUGGGCGCGCUUGCCGAUGACGCGGAUGGAGGUGUACGCGGCCGUCGCACCGACGACGCCUAGGAGCGCGGCGAGAAUGCCGAGGGUGCGUUUGUAGACGUCGUCUGCUGAGCCUGCUGGGCUUGCUUUAACGUCCGUCGAUGACCAUGAAGAAGACGAUGCGGAUACGUGCGAAGAGCCACGAAACAGCGACGCCGGCCGUGCAAUUAGCACAACGCCCAGCAGCGACGCUAGCGCCGCCACCUGCUGUCUGCGCGUGAAGGUCUCGUUGGGCAUGGUUAGCGAGCAGACGUAGCAGCAGCCGAUGGGGGCUAGGAAAGUGAGCACGGUGGCUUCCGAGAGGGCGAGGUGGAGCAGCGAGCUGUACAGGCCGAAGACGCCGAAGAAGCCGCUGAUGCCGCGGAGGAAGAGGAGGGGCCGGAUCGAGCGGAUGCCAAAGGGGUGUGGGACGCGGGCGUAGAGCAUGUAGAGCAGGCUGAGGAGGACGGUGAUGCCCAUGCGCGCGAAGAGGAUCUGUGAGGGGAUGUUGUCAGAUUGUUUCCCUUCUCUUUUUUUCUUUUUUGAAGGUUCUUCAUUGGGGGGUGGGAGCGGGGUAGAAUGAUCAUGUCAUGAUAUAUUAUCAUUUAUCAAAGAGUGUACAUAUAAGAAAGAAGAGACGACGAUGAAAAAAAAAAAAAAAAAGACACAGUAUUACAAACCUGAAACGGAUGCAUUCCUUUCCCAUGACUCCCAUCCAAUUGAAGAGUGCGGGUCAUGACGUUCAUCGACGCGCCGAAGAACUGAGCCAGCAUUACCAUGAGCAUCCCCUUGCUCAUGAGCCAGGAUUGCCAGAGCUUGCGGCGCCAUGAUUGCACACGGCUCCCCUUGUUGCUGCGUUGGGGGCUGGGUGGUUCGGAACCGGUUGGCGGAGUGCGUUGGAGGAGCGGAGCUUGAGAACCGGAUACAUCAUCAUUCGUUUUAUUCUCCGGACGAAUAUGACAGGGUAGGAUGCAGUCAGGAUGCGUACAGGCUGAGGGAGCAACUCCAAUGGCUGUGCGU